Long non-coding RNA from Bombus huntii, 7558 nucleotides. RefSeq lists it as uncharacterized. The record is from RefSeq and is a predicted model, not a curated record. NCBI's taxonomy places the organism in Eukaryota, Metazoa, Arthropoda, Insecta, Hymenoptera, Apidae. The transcript has 2 exons.
AUUAGUUGUGCCCAAACAUGUUUAUUAUUUCACAAUUCCUAUUGUUGAGCCGAAAUAACAUACAUGCCAUAAGCGUAUACAUUUUGCGCAAAUUCGAGCAUACUGCAUAAAUGGCUCGACGCGUGAUCUUGUUUGUUGUGGCCCAAGCAAUCGUUUAACAAUCGAGUUAACGGGUAGGACAAAGGAUCAAAUGAAAAGUGUACCGUCGGCAUUGGAAUAAUUCAAAGUAUAUCACGAGGAGGUUGAACGGUCAAACUUGAACCACGUAUGGCGUAUGUGUAGUGUCUGUCUGUUUAGUAUGUGUAAUGCGUGUGUAAUAUGCAUACUUAAUGUGUGUGUAAUUAUUAUUUGUGUAAUGCGUAUUUAGUUUCUGCGUGCUUAGAGUGUAUAUAGGAUAUGUGUUUUUAUAUGCGUUUCUGGCACAUGUGUAGUAUGUGUUUAUUGUUCGAACUAUACACAGUUUGUGUGUAUAGUACAUGCGUUUAUUGUAUGUUAUAGCGCGCCUCUAUGGACAAUCGAUGCCAAAAAAUUAUAAGGUAACGGGGAGAAAAUAGCCGCUUUUAAAUAAAUUAAACAUACACACGCACUUAUCGCACACAUACUAUAUAUAAUGAACAGCCAGACACUAUCAAUACACGGCACAUAAUAUUCAAGUGUGACCAUGCAAUCUCCUCGUGGUGUAUCUUGACUUAUUACAAUACCAAUAGCAUUUUUUAUAUUUCAAAUGUCAAUAAAAAGCAACAAGAAGACGUACGACAACCUUUAGUUAUAAAGGCGAGACUUAUCUUUACAAAGUUAUCUUAAAACGGAUCUUGAAGGAAAUUUUUCAAACUCCACAGAGUCAUUUAAAUUUGUAAAAUCUUCGUAAAGAAAAAGUAUCUUCAGUUCCCCAGCCGUUAACGAAAAAAUAAACACAAGAUUGUAAAGGAAAAAGCUUCGUGUUUUAAAAUGAGCCGAGAUAAAUUGUUAUCCAAUUUUUUUCACAAAAUUACGACAGUUUUAAUAUCGACAAUUUUUCAUCUAAAAUGCAGUCAGCCUUUAACUUUGUACGCUAAUGUAUUAUCAUAUCUCACAUAUUUUUUUUUGCAUGAGAAAUCAUACUUUAUAACGACAAUAUUAAUCUCGUGAUAGAUAAAACAGAAUUUGACGAGGCAGUCGGUCAAAAUACUAAUUCUCAACUAGGUAUAUACGGUACCUACGGACGAGCUAUGGUACCGGAAUAAGAUCUUUAUAUACAUGAUACAAUUUGAUUCAGAUUAAUAAAUACUAAUAAGCUAGUACAAAUGAGUGCUAGUGGAUCAGGUCAAAUAUAUCCAGGAGAACAAUUAUCGAAUGGGCCCAAGUGAAUCAAGAUUGAUUAGAUUAAGUCACAUGAGACAAUGUGUUCAGGAAAUGGGUCUGUGCCACUGAUAUCUCAAAUUCGCAAAUAAUAUUUGGAAGGUCAGAACACCUGAGUAGCAUAUCAGAAUCAGGCUAUAUAAAUGUGACUGGAUCACUAGGAUCAGGUCAUAUAAAUUCGGGUGACCGACCUAGGCUAGAGCAUAUGGGCACUAACAGUUCAUCUAAAUCAGGACAUGUCAGUACAAGCUUCCCCAAGUGCACGAAUAAAUCACGACUAUUGAGUUCAAAUUUUCCUGAGCAAAUAAGCACAAGAACACUCUUGUUACAAAGAGAAAUAGAUGAAGUUGGAAGUCAAUUGAGUUUAGAGACAAUGAUAAAGUCAAAUACAAUUAAGUUAGACAAAUAAGCAGUAGCCGGAACGGACCCGAACGGACUGAAAAUCAUUUCUGGCAUUACAGCAGUGGAGAGUAAAAUUUUAUCCUUUUUAAAAAAAAGGAACAAAGGAAAAUGACAAUCCCUUUACUCCAAAAAAAGCCCGGUGAAAAUUCCAGUCAACAAGAGCAAAUAUGCUGAUGAAAGUGAAUUACAUAUCGACACACCUUCGAAAUAUUUCGAAUAUAACGAUUAUAACACUCCAAUGACGGCAAAAACAAAAAGAAUUAAGGAAUGAAAGAAUUAAUUAAUCAAAUCGGCCAUGAGGAGGCAGAAAAAUAUAAGAGAUCUUACAAAAAGCGAGGAGGAAAGGAUAUCCUCGCAAUCAGAAAGAGAAAUAGAAUACUCCAUUAAACAAGUGGAAGUGAAUGUGUUAAUUAAUACGCUAACUGAAGUGAUUCUAAACACAAACAAAAUAAAUACGAGACUUCACCUAUUAUCCAAAAAAAAGAUGCGGAAGUAGCAGAGAUCACUAAAGAGAAUAACGAACAUAUAAGUGGCACUUCUGAGUGGAUCCAAGGAUUAAAUAAAAAAAUUAAGGGUAAGUGUUAUGUCGCGUAAGACAUCCCUCCACUCCAUCCCUCGCUGCUUGACAGCUAACGGUCCACAUACCGUCAUUCCGACACUCAACAAACCUAAGAACCCACCAUAAACCUUUAACUUUUAAUUUCAGUGUUUCAACACAUGUUUUUCAGUUAAUCUGUUUGUCCUAAGGGUUUUUCUAAUCCCAGAAAUUUUUUCGGUUUAUGGCUGGUUUUUAGAAAAAUCCUUGAGUUUAUCAUACGCUCUUAAAAAUUACGGAGAAAGCAGGUAGUGACCUAACGGAAAAAGCGGUUAUUUAUCUAACGGAAAGUCCGGUUCUUCCCUUAAACAAUGACACCAACUAGCAACAUUGGUAGGAGGUUCCUUUCCCUCUCAUCUCUCAUUAACAUUGACUAAAAUCAAUGGACAUCGCAGAUCGUUGCCCUGUCCUUACUAACGAAAAGUGAGCAACGAAUCCGCUUUCUCCGUUCAAAAAACCACACCCACACCGAGCUUUCCUCCGUAAUUGCAUGAGAGCGAAAAGUCAGUCAGUUCAAUUGCUAUUCCUGUUAUACUAAGAAAGUCAACUUCUUCUUAUAUUCAACUGCAAGGGCCUUGCUCUACUACGAAAGAACAGUCAGUGCUCAUCUAUCGGAGUGUCAUACUUCAAAGUAUCGUUUACGACAUUGAUAUCAUGACUCUUGAGUGUAUUAAGUGUUGGAAAUAUAAAUUUUAUAACCCUAUUAAUCGCAGUGUUAUACCGCAUCAAUCGCCCCUAUUAUCCCACAAGAAAUAAGAGGAUCGAUCUGUUCGUGGUGUCGAUUCUUAUAAUCCUAACGGGAAUUUACGACUUCCGUUGACGCGCUUCCUCGCGAUCGCGUCUCCCCGCGAUCGCGUCUCCCCGCGAUCGCGUCUCCCUGCGAUAGAUCGAAAAUACAGUAAGGAUUACACCGGCCAAGGAAACGGUUACUCAUAGAAAAUCGGUGGCAACGUCGCGCCCUAAAUAGUAGCUACAAAACACACAUUGAUACAAAAAGGACACUACCAAAUUAGUAAAAGGCAACAGACCUCCCCAGUGGAAGACAAAGGGAAAGAUCUCAGGAAAAGAUCUAAGAAAGGAGCGUUGGCGUAGAUAAAGAUUACACCGAGAAGGAAAACAAUAGUAGUGAAAUUAAUGAAUGGAAAGUUCAAAUAAAUAAGGAAACACUUAGAAAAGAGAAGAUUAAAAAAAAUCGAAGAAUACCAACCCAAAAGGAACAGCAGAAAAGUGAAAAAUCAGCAAAGAAUUCGCAAUAGACCGAAAGCAAUACUUGUCAAGGUCGAAAGUGGAAAAGAAUGUGUCGAAACCUACAGAGAGCUUGAGAUCUAUGGAAGCUCUCAAGAAAACGACUGGUGUUAGGAAGACAAGGUACGGGAAUAUCUUGAUCGAAUUAAUAAAAGCAAAAGCAUCAGCAAAUGAGAUUUCAGAGAAAAUAAAGACGGUUACGGAAAACCGAGUACAGUCAACACCACUACAAACUAUGGUGUCAUUGGAAGUCAAAAACAUCGAUCCGCUGAGCAAGGAAGAGCUCAGAAGCGACAUUUGUAGUAACUUAAGCAUAAGUAACAGAAACUGUGUCGACGUCAAAACACUGUCAAUAAACCCAUGGGGAACAUGACAAGCCAUAGUUGUGAUCCCCGCAUUAACUGUUCCUGCCAAUUAUAACAAUUUAAAAAUCAGAGCAGGAUUGACAGUAACAAGCAUAAAAAUCUUGCCCAAAAUCAAUAGAUGUUUUAGGUGUCAUAAAAUAGGACACACCUCAAAUCAGUGCAAAGAAGUUAGCUCUGGAAAGGCACUUUGCGGGAAAUGUAGAGUUAGGGGUCACAAUAUGGAGAACUGCAUUAACGAACCACGUUGCGCCAUGUGCAGCGCUCAUGGUUUAGCAAAUAAAAAACGUGUCACUGGGUCAUUGGUGUAUCCUAUAUACAAAAGAGCGAUGAAAGAGAGAAAUACUAGAAUAAAAAGAUAAAGAUUUUGCAGACAAAUUUAAAUGGCUGCAAGUUGGCACAGGAUUUAAUGUACCAAUGCGCCUAUGAAAUCAGAGCAGAUAUCGUUAUCAUCUCUGAACCAAAGAAACAAUAGAUGUACUGGUACAAAGACAUAAAAGGUGAUGCAUCCAUAUAGGUUACAUUAUUUAACAGUGCACUUCCAUGUGAUGAUACCAUAAUACAGGAAGACGGUAUGGUGGGAAUAAGAAUAGGGGAUAUUUCCUACAUGAGUGGAUAUUGUUCCCCUAACAUUAACAAAGAUACCUACUAUAAAUAUGUUGACAAAUUAGAAAGCUUAAUGAAAAGGAUAUAUAAAAAACAAAGUAAAAUACUUAUUGCUGGCGAUUAUAAUGCAAAAUCGGCAGCAUGGAGCGGAGAUAAAACCGACAAAAAGGAUAGAACCUUAAUGGAAGCUUUGGUAAGAAAUGGAAUUACAACCAUAAAAGUGAACAAAAAAUAUAUCUUUGUUAGGGGCAAUAGUAAUAGCUAUCUUGACAUAGUGAGUGUAAAUAAUAACCUAGCUAGGCUUUAUAAAAGAACAAAGGUCCCACAAAUUUUUAAUUUAAAUUUAACAGAAUUGAGGUCAUUAUAAAUUUUCGACGAAGGGCUUCGAUCCGGACAGGUUUAUUAAUAAAUUUGACGAAAUAAAAAAUAAUGUAAUAAUUGUUGAAGUGGUCAUCACUUCUAAGAAAACUCUACAUCUGGUCUUUUUAGUUUUCUCAAGCACUGAAGCCAUCGACAGCGUGUAGACAAAAGACUGCGACAAAGUCAGACCAUAAACAGUAGACAGGCGACGUUGUCUUCGGGAUUUUCAAUUAUUGGGUAACACAGCUAGCAUGCGGACCUGGACCAGCUCAAAUUGAUGAACCAUGGGGAAUUUCUCCACAAUAUUUUAGAAAAAACGCGUGAAGCCGAAUUAAAAAAAGUCUUUCUACCAAGGGGUAAGAAGAACGAGAUGAAUGAGUGGAAUGAGAAUAUAGUUCCACUUUGAAAAAUGGAAAAUAAAAGUAGAAGGGCUGUAUUAAAUAGCCAACAAUGCGGAGGAUCUUACCAAGAUAUAUAAGCAGAAUAAAAAGGAACUGAAGAUAUUAAUUCAGAAAGGCAAAGAACAAACGUGGAAGGAAUUCGUUGCAGUCUUAGAAUGGGAUCCAUAGAGUAAAUCCUAUAAAAGCGUUAUAAAUAAACUAAAAAAACAAGAAACCAGUAGAUAACAUAAAUUCAAAUAAAAUUAAUAGCAUUAUAGAUACACUUUUCACCACAAAAACAAACAUAACUGCCGAAGAAGAGAGGCGGGAUGGUAGUUACGAGGAAGUAACAAACGACGAUGUAUGUAUCACCGUCCAAAUGGAGGAGUUAGCGAAUGCCAUUGGACGAUUAAAUUUUAAACGGGCAGCUGGCGUGGAUGGGGUCUCUGGAACAAUAUUUAAAUUAUUAUUUAAGCAUAAAGCUCACGACAUACUAAGCAUGAUUAAUACUAUAUACAAAAUAAAUAAAAUACUUAAAAAAUGUAAAAUUGCCAGAGUAAUAUUGCAAAACCAGGAAAUAAUCCCCUCCUUCCUUCUUCCUAUUGGCUCAUAAGUAUACUACCUGCGAUGAGCAAGAUAUGGGGGAAUACUUCUAAAUCCUCCACUGAGAAAUAUCUAGGGCAGGAGCCAUAUCACAAAAGCCAGUAUGGUUUCCGCAGAGGCAGGAGCACAGUUGGUCCCAUCAAAUAGGUUAAAAAAUUUGCAGAUUUCUGCAAAAAGAAAAAUUUAGUAUACAUCCAGAUAGCUGUCGACAUUAAAAAAUGUUUUCAACAUCCUUAGAUGGUAUACAAUAAUUAAGGAAGCCAGGCAAAGAAAACUUCCAGGAAACUUAUUGAUAUUAUAUGAUUACCUGAAGGACAGAGAGAUUAUAAUUCAAAGCAUUAAUGGAGAAUUUAAAAGUAAUGUCUACGCUAUUAUUAUGGAAUUUAGUGCACAAUGGACUUCUCAAUAAAUUUGAUAAUAUAAUAAAAUUUACAAACUGUAGCCUUUGCAGAUUAUUCGGCAAUUCUAAUGGGUGUCAAUAAAGAAGAAAGUAUAGAAAAUAAACUAAAUAUAAACAUAAACACAAUUAUGACCUGGUGUAAUAACGCUGGAUUGCAAAUUGCAAAAGAAAAAACAGAGAUUAUUCUAUUGACUGGUAUGCUAAUACCUAAGAUAAUAAAUGUAAAUAUUAUAAAUACGCUAAUUACUACAAAUAACACUAUUAUAUACUUGGGAUUAACAAUUGACAACAUCAGAAAUUACACUGCGCAUCUGGAAACAUUAUGCUGUAGAGCUGAUGCAUUUAGUCAGAAUGUUGAUAGUACUACUUCCCAACAUAAAUGGUCCUACUAACCUAGUUAGAAGAUUGUUCUGGGAAUCGAUGGUACUAUAUGCCUCUCCUGUAUGAGCUGAGGCUCCGAAAAUGACUAAAAAUAAAAAAAAUAUUAAAAACAGUACAAAGAUUGGCCAUAAUGAGGAUGUCAACAGCUUAUAGAGCUGUCUCUUAUGCAGCUCUAUGCAUGUUUCCAGGCAACAUGCCAAUACACAUUAAAGCACAGCUGCAAAAAAAAGAUAUAUGAGGUGAAAAAAGGCACAUAUUAAACACGGCAGAAAAUAUAACCAAUAGGGUGCAAAACUCACUCAAGGGAGAGAUAGAACAGUUGGAAGAAACAACAAUAGAGGAUUGGAGAAAGGAAUAUAAAAGAAAUUGGACAAGAAAAUUGAUAAACAACGUAGUCAUCUUUAUAAAGAAUAAAAAACUUAUUAACCAUUAUACAAUGCAAAUACUUACCAGACAUGGUAUCUUUAACACAUAUAGAAUCAGAAUAAAUAAAGAAAGCAAUAACCAAUGCUGCGAUUGCAUUGAAGAGCUCGAUGAUACUGAACAGGUAUUGUUUAGAUGUCCAAGAUGGGCUUCCCAACAUAUAGUCUGUGAAAACCAUGCUGGUGAAAGUUUAAGCACCAAGAAUACGAUUACAUUAGUUACAGCAGACAAUGAUAUAUGGAAUCACUUCCAAGUAUUUUGUGACUCCAUAAUAAACUUUCUAUAAAGCGUAGACACAGGAUAUAGCCCAUAAAAGCUAUUUUAACCAAGAAGUGAAGAAAUUAAUUAUCUGUUAUCUAUUUUUAUUUAUUCUGUUCUGUCCAUCUACUUAAUUAACUAUAGUAAUUGUUUAUUUAGUUAUCUUUUUAUUUAUCCAUUAAUUAAUUAAUUAAUUAAUUUAUAA